This 594-nucleotide ribosomal RNA is filed under the name Eleutheria claparedii. RNAcentral describes it as "Eleutheria claparedei 16S ribosomal RNA". It matches the Rfam family "Bacterial large subunit ribosomal RNA", at positions 1818 to 2597 of the family's 2925-position model. The record is from RNAcentral. Lineage: Eukaryota; Metazoa; Cnidaria; Hydrozoa; Anthoathecata; Cladonematidae.
GCCCUCUAUAAAAUAGAAGGUGAAACCUGCCCAAUGAUUAAUAACUUAUUAAUAAUAAAAAUAUUAUAAUUUAAUUUAAAGGACGCGGUAUCCUGACCGUGAUAAUGUAGCAUAAUCACUCGCCAUUUAAUUGAUGGAUUGUAUGAAUGGUUAUACGAAUAUGACACUGUCUCUAAUAAAAUAUUUAUGAAAUUGAAAUCUUAGUGAAGAUGCUAAGUUAUACUGUAAGACGAAAAGACCCUAUAGAGCUUAACUAUAGUCUUUUAUAAACCAAUAAAGUUAACUUUAUAAAAUUAAAAGAUAGGUAGUUUAGUUGGGGCGACUGUCUUUUAAAAUAAACAAAGACAAACAAGAUAAUUAUUUAAUUUACUGUAUAAUAUAUAUAUUUAACAGUUACUAAAGUAGGUAAUAAUGACCCGUUUUCUCUAUAUAAUAAGGAUAACGAUCAAUAAAUAAAAGCUACCUUAGGGAUAACAGGGUAAUUUUACUUUAGAGUUCAUAUCAAAAGUAAAGUUUGCCACCUCUAUGUUGAAUUAAGAUAUCCUAAUAAUGCAGAAGUUAUUAAAGGUAGGUCUGUUCGACCUUUAAAAUCUU